Molecule: long non-coding RNA, 1416 nt
Filed under: Gallus gallus (chicken)
Lineage: Eukaryota; Metazoa; Chordata; Aves; Galliformes; Phasianidae
Description: lncRNA (ENSGALG00010018890.1)
Source: RNAcentral
CAAAGGUGCACAAGGGGAGAAUCCGCUGAAUAGCUGGAAAAAAAGGUGGGCUGGACGAUGGGGCUGAAUAAUCAGGAGCAAAGGUCUUUGAGAGAGUAAAGCAAGCCCUGCAGUACGGGCAUACCAGAGUUCCAGAAGCAACCAGAAGUUUUGGUGGCUCUGCAUCCGGACAUCUCUCUGCAGGGAACUUUGGGGAUUGCAACAGUCACGAACCUCGUGCCCAAAAAUCUCCAAACGAGAGGCUUCUCCUGCCAGCUCUGCCAGGGCAUCCCAUGUACAGAGAUCCCACAGUGGAGAGCUGCCUUCAGAAAGCUUCACCCCAAGGAUGUGUAACUUGAUGCAGUAUUGACCAGACAUAUUUAGGAGGAGAAAACAGGAUUUGCUUCUUACCUAAAAGAAAAUAUAGCUGCCCAUUCAACAAGAAAUGAAUCCUGAAUCCUGGUCUCUCUGGAAAACCAAACCAACCAAAUCAGCCUCCUGCUUUUCAUUUACAUUCCAUUAAGGCUUGUUAACUUAACCUCAGCUCCCAGAGCUCUGGAGCAUUCUAUAGGUCGGACUGAGUGCUUUGUUAACUACCUUGAUGAACCAAUCAAGGCUUGGCUAAGUCAGAGAAGAAGCAGACAAACCCUGGGAGACAUCUGUACAAGAAAAGGCAUAAUCUGGACGCUGAGCUUUGAAGGCAAGCUAUAUAAUGAGAGCUGACUGUAUCUCAAAAUCCAUGUUAGCUUGAAUGAACUUAUGUAAUAAACAUUUAUCACAGAACAUAUGUCACUGAGCACCUGCCAGACUUCAGGAGUGGAGCCAACACAGCUUGAAUCGUAUAUGUAUUGGGAGAAAAAAAAAAAAGAAGAAAAAAAAAAAGGAACUUGGCGGCAGGAGGCUGGCAGACGCUUUUACUAGAAAAAUCAGAAGUGAUUUUGAGAGGAGCAGAAAUUUCCUGAAACCUCUUUCUCUCUGUAUAGGAAUUUCACACUUGGAAAAAACGAGAGGCAGAUUCGCCUGCAUGAGGUUGGGCGCUCAUCUGCCUACCCAUAACCCACAUUGUGACAAUUCAUGAGUCAACACUUUUUCCUCACGUGAUGGUGGGGAAAAGAUCUGGAAGCACCCUGUGAAGAAGAUCCAAAUCACUCUUCCUCAGGUCCCAUUGGAGAAACUGAAGCACGAAGCACUGAAGAGAUGCUUCUCACAGCACUGGGAGAGUGUCCAGGCUCAAAGCCAGCUGUUCCAGUCCCAGCCUAACAUACCCAACAUUGCCUGUGCCUCUCCCUGGAAGGGGGGAUGAGAUUUAGUAUGGACAGGAGAUCUCUAUAUAUGUGUUUGUGUGUCUUUGUGUACAGUACAGGGGUUUUACUGAGAAAAGGCUACUUAACAAAAUAACAAAGUGGAAAUCAAUUCUGUCUUCAUCUGGGAAAGCAG